GUUUGUUCAUGUACCGCCAGUACCGCCGCGUGUAGGACGUACUAACAAACUUUCUCUUUACGUCCGCGCGGCAAUCACAACCUCGUGGUUUUUGGCGUUGCCUUAUAAGCCGUGCCCUCCAUUCGUUCGUUGCGGGAAGCGGCGUCCAAAGCAAUCGAAGCCUCGUGGUUUUUGGCGUGGCCUGUUUGGCUGUAUCGCGCCGUUCCCUCCGUUCGUUCCUGGCGGAGCGACGUCCAAAGACCUACAGAAGGGCUCUUUAUGUCCCUCUGUCCGGUGGUGGUCGCAAGCGAGGCCUGCACCGUUAUUGCCAUCACCAUAGUCUGAAGACCUACAGCAGGGCUCUGUCUGGCUCUGCGUCGCUCUGUCCAGUGGUGGUUGCAAGCGAGGCCUGCACCGUAAUUGCCAUCACCAUACUCUGAAGACCUACAGCAGGGCUCUGCCUGGCUCUGCGUCCCUCUGUCCAGUGGUGGUCGCAAGCGAGGCCUGCACCGUAAUUGCCAUCACCAUAGUCUGAAGACCUACAGCAGGGCUCUGCCUGGCUCUGCGUCCCUCUGUCCAGUGGUGGUCGCAAGCGAGGCCUGCACCGUAAUUGCCAUCACCAUAGUCUGAAGAAGCUACUCUCUCGCACAAACGAUCUGGAGCCUGGCUUUCUCCAAGACAUCACUGAUGGGAAGCUCUAUGGAGAGUCCAAUUUUUUUAUUGCUGAUGGACUCUGUAAGGGCAACUAUAACACAACUGGUACCCGAGAUACCCGAUGACCAACUUGACGCACUGGUGACCCACCUUGUGGAGGAGGGAUACAGUACAGCAAAAGACCUUCUAUACUUGGAAGAACAGGACUUAAAGCCUUUCCUCAAGACCUUGCAUAUCAGGAAGCUUUUACAUCUCAUAAAAUCUGGGUCCCA
RNAcentral lists this unclassified non-coding RNA (905 nucleotides) under Ixodes scapularis (black-legged tick). RNAcentral's name for it is "uncharacterized LOC121834997, transcript variant X4". The record is from RNAcentral. Lineage: Eukaryota; Metazoa; Arthropoda; Arachnida; Ixodida; Ixodidae.